Lethenteron reissneri (Far Eastern brook lamprey) is the source of this 324-nucleotide long non-coding RNA. RefSeq lists it as uncharacterized. The record is from RefSeq and is a predicted model, not a curated record. Lineage: Eukaryota; Metazoa; Chordata; Hyperoartia; Petromyzontiformes; Petromyzontidae.
CUUUGCUUUUAGCACCUCCCGUCCGUCCGAAGAGCAGCAAGGAUGCUUCUACUCGGUGACUACCCAUCAGGCUCAGUCUGUCAUAAACGCAAACACACGCGAAAGAAUGUCCAUUCGUGUAACGUGAAAGAGGAGGAAUUUCAAAUGGUGGACGUCUCUAUUUCGGCCACUGGAGACGCUCCAGUGAUUCAGGGCCAUCCGUGCAGAGGGCCAUUUGGCAGUCCAGGGCUGAUGCCAGGAGGCUCAUAAAUAAUGGGUGACCCGAAUUUAUGUGUUUUAUUCGUUUCUGUCUUGUAGAAGCUUAAUUAAAAGAGAUUUGCGGUG